RNAcentral lists this long non-coding RNA (2724 nucleotides) under Carassius auratus (goldfish). RNAcentral's name for it is "lncRNA (ENSCARG00000002523.1)". The record is from RNAcentral. Lineage: Eukaryota; Metazoa; Chordata; Actinopteri; Cypriniformes; Cyprinidae.
AUGCCGUUUACAAAAAAAAGGAAGUUAAAAGGUAAAACAACGAUGCCGGACGAUUUUGAACUUAGAAGAGAAGAUGAGAUGGAGUUUUUCGCCCUGCCCUACCUUUUUGAACCGGAAUACACAGAGGAAGAAAUUAGGCAGAUGGACGAGAAUGCUGCGGCGACACACACCUCUCAAGCAUGGGGCAGACGAAGAUCUAACGAGACGUGGUGGUGCACAUGUGGCAAAUGCCAACCAUUGCCAACAGAGGAAGAAUCUCAAUGCUGCCACGACUGGACCAUUUCAAUCCCGCCAUUAGAAUCAAUCAUUGAGUCAGCUGGUGAGACCCUGUUUACAUCUCGCUGCAUUACCCAACAAAAUGGAUUUCCACCGUUACUGAGCAACAGCGUGUUAGAGGUGUUUUUUAGUUUGCCCAAAAAUAACUGGAGACGCCGUCUGAGGCCCCAAGGACCUGGUGGCACCCUAACAGUUGAUCAAUAUAGGCUGGUGGCAUACCGGAUAGUUCUGGAAUGGAUGCUGAAAGGGGAGAGAUUGGGAAGACGCAACAGGAGGGUUCUUCCAUCCUGUGUUGUCAGUGCCAUCAGACUGUCAUACCCUUUUCCAUCAGGACAGUAUGUAGGCUUCAGAGAAGCCGAAGAGGCUUUUGGUCUUUUGUAGGAAUAAUAAUUUGAAAUACAAUUUGAAUUACAAGGUUACAUUUUUUAUAUACAUUAUAAUUUGUUGUGGCUUGUUUGUUACUGUAAUAGCUGUAUUUUUAUUUAUUUUUUGCAUAGUCAAUGUUAUUUGUUGUUGUAUAUACAUCAACACUACAUACUUAUUGAUGUCUCACACAAAUGUUUAUUUUGGAAGAAUAAAACAAAUUUGAGAAAUACAUUCGUUGAUGUUUAAUUCCAACUGAUGUGGGGUACCAUCAGUAAGGACCAUAUAUUUCACACUAACACCAUAAAUAUUUUGUUUGUUUCACCAACAGUGUUUUCUGUUUUUGCCCCAAUAAAAAAAAAAAUGUAUAUAACAGACUUCAACAUUUUUAAAGCAAAUUAGUGUCCAAAUCUUGAUAAAUGCUUUGCAAUUACUUCUUGCUUGUCAGGCCUUGGUGUUAGGGCUAUGUUCUGUGGCAAUGGGUGAUGAUGAGUCAAACGACAAGAACUUUCCUUGUAAACAACGCUGGUGUCCAGCCGCCGCUGUACAACUUUCUCAACCAGAGACUCUCUGAAUUUUUGAGUGGUUUGUGUAAAAAUCGUUUUGGCUACCCAUUCUUUGGUAUGUUUGGGGAAAACCACUUUGUACCGAGAUGCACCUAUAAUAAAAGAAAAUUGAUGAAACAUAAUAAAUUACACGAUUUGUAUUGAUUACAUUACUAUAAUAGAAUGUUCACAUUUGAUUCUCAACUUGAUUAACUUAGAUCUAUUGUCAUCACACACCAUAUUGAAAAAUCUUUAGUAGUUACACACAAUAUGUUGUUUUCAACUUACCAGUAGUGGUUGUUGCUUGCUGACGACCUACAUUUUCAUUAUGGUCAAGGAUAGCGAGUUGUGUUCGUGCAACCAUGGACACAUAAUGAAAAUGCAGGUUCUUUGGGCAGUAUUUCAGUAGGACAGAAUGAAACACCUCCAGUUGUCCUAAAGAUAAAAGAAAAAAAUGUAUACGGUGUACCUACAUGUACAUGUGUAUGUACAUUACCAUGUGUAUAGAAAUAACUUACCAGUGUGUUUGAAAAGAGCCAUUUGCCUCAAAUCCUUUUCAAGUCCUUUGUCCAGGACAAGACUCUGCAGUGUGUGGAAGGCAUGUGAGUCUUUUCCAAGCCAUUUUUUUCUGCGUUGCUGUUCUGGACUGAGAUCAUUGUGUACACAUUUUUUCUGCUUUCCUUCUUUAAACCAACUGUGCACACCUGUAAUGUGAUAAAGUAUGGACUUCCAAUUUUCGAUCAGUUCCUGUAUAAAUACAUGAAUACUCAAAGUAAUUAUUAUACAAAUGUAUAAAUUAUAAACAUAGAAAAAUAGAUGUUUAUGGUCCAGCAACCCCAAUAUUUAAAAACUUACAAAAAAAAACAAAAAAACAAAGCUUUCUUUAAAGAACAAAGUAAAAUUUGUGCGUGUGUAUAAAGAAAUUAAACUUAAUAUUAAAACAUUACAGAACUUACGUUAGGGUCGCCUCCACAAGUUGCAGAGCAAUACCAUAAAUGGUUGCAAAUACUUCGUGUCCAUGGCUGAAGCUCUCGAUGUCCAUGUAUCUUGACAUGGAGCACAACUUUUUGGAAAGUCCUUAAAAAAUAUAAUUUUAAUUAUAAAAUAAUUAAAAAGGAUUGACAAUAUAGUGCAUAACAAGGUUAAUCUAGUACUUCACGGUUUAUUGUAGCAAUUUUUUAAAUGCAUGUAAACAACACAUUGUAUAUUCCUACAUAGGAAUAAAUAAGUUUUAGACUAUGUUGCCUUUUGGAUAAUUCAUAAUUAAUAUCUCUUUCUCAGUCUCUUGUGAGACAGUUACCUUUGACUACAUGCCAAAUAUCAAAUUUGUGGUGAAUGUUGGGAUAUUCUACACGCAUAAUCUUUCUAAUAGAUGGCGAUCUGUCUGUGGUCAGCACGUCGAUUUUGAUUCCUUGUUCUUGUAUUGUGUUCACAGCCCUCUUGAAUCCUACUGGCUCCAUGGCCACAGUACUGGAUGCUUCUGUAACCUGAAAUGCAAUAUCAUGAUAGAUAAACAAGGAGUGUGUGUAUUUUCAUUGAU